GACUAAGUGACAUCCGACGGUUCCCCGAUGGAUGACUUCGAGGGGAUUAAUAGGGAACACGGUGCGGAAGACCCAACAGGGACCAAGACCGUGGCUGCCCCCGCAACUGUAAGCGGAUUGCCGAUCGUCCACGUGACGCUUUUCACAAAGCGUCAUGUCACUGUCCGAACCUGCGGGUUCUGACGGGAAGGCAGACGACCGGCGCAUAUCCGCGAGCCAGGAGACCUGCCGUCGAACGCAACAUCCA
RNAcentral lists this non-coding RNA (247 nucleotides) under Pararhizobium polonicum. Lineage: Bacteria; Pseudomonadati; Pseudomonadota; Alphaproteobacteria; Hyphomicrobiales; Rhizobiaceae. The record is from RNAcentral.